CUAGCUACAGGCUUAACACAUGCAAGUCGAGGGGCAGCAUUUCAUUUUGCUUGCAAACUGGAGAUGGCGACCGGCGCACGGGUGAGUAACACGUAUCCAACCUGCCGAUAACUCGGGGAUAGCCUUUCGAAAGAAAGAUUAAUACCCGAUGGUAUAAUCAGACCGCAUGGUCUUGUUAUUAAAGAAUUUCGGUUAUCGAUGGGGAUGCGUUCCAUUAGGCAGUUGGUGAGGUAACGGCUCACCAAACCUUCGAUGGAUAGGGGUUCUGAGAGGAAGGUCCCCCACAUUGGAACUGAGACACGGUCCAAACUCCUACGGGAGGCAGCAGUGAGGAAUAUUGGUCAAUGGGCGCAGGCCUGAACCAGCCAAGUAGCGUGAAGGAUGACUGCCCUAUGGGUUGUAAACUUCUUUUAUAUGGGAAUAAAGUUUUCCACGUGUGGAAUUUUGUAUGUACCAUAUGAAUAAGGAUCGGCUAACUCCGUGCCAGCAGCCGCGGUAAUACGGAGGAUCCGAGCGUUAUCCGGAUUUAUUGGGUUUAAAGGGAGCGUAGGUGGACAGUUAAGUCAGUUGUGAAAGUUUGCGGCUCAACCGUAAAAUUGCAGUUGAUACUGGCUGUCUUGAGUACAGUAGAGGUGGGCGGAAUUCGUGGUGUAGCGGUGAAAUGCUUAGAUAUCACGAAGAACUCCGAUUGCGGAGGCAGCUCACUGGACUGCAACUGACACUGAUGCUCGAAAGUGUGGGUAUCAAACAGGAUUAGAUACCCUGGUAGUCCACACAGUAAACGAUGAAUACUCGCUGUUUGCGAUAUACAGUAAGCGGCCAAGCGAAAGCAUUAAGUAUUCCACCUGGGGAGUACGCCGGCAACGGUGAAACUCAAAGGAAUUGACGGGGGCCCGCACAAGCGGAGGAACAUGUGGUUUAAUUCGAUGAUACGCGAGGAACCUUACCCGGGCUUAAAUUGCAUUUGAAUAUAUUGGAAACAGUAUAGCCGUAAGGCAAAUGUGAAGGUGCUGCAUGGUUGUCGUCAGCUCGUGCCGUGAGGUGUCGGCUUAAGUGCCAUAACGAGCGCAACCCUUAUCUUUAGUUACUAACAGGUCAUGCUGAGGACUCUAGAGAGACUGCCGUCGUAAGAUGUGAGGAAGGUGGGGAUGACGUCAAAUCAGCACGGCCCUUACGUCCGGGGCUACACACGUGUUACAAUGGGGGGUACAGAAGGCAGCUACCUGGUGACAGGAUGCUAAUCCCAAAAGCCUCUCUCAGUUCGGAUCGAAGUCUGCAACCCGACUUCGUGAAGCUGGAUUCGCUAGUAAUCGCGCAUCAGCCAUGGCGCGGUGAAUACGUUCCCGGGCCUUGUACACACCGCCCGUCAAGCCAUGAAAGCCGGGGGUACCUGAAGUACGUAACCGCAAGGAGCGUCCUAGGGUAAAACUGGUAAUUGGGGCU
Molecule: ribosomal RNA, 1443 nt
Filed under: uncultured organism
Description: SSU rRNA
Rfam family: Bacterial small subunit ribosomal RNA
Source: RNAcentral